CUUGUAAAGAGAGCUCCCAAAUGUACAGGAACUGCAAGGAGACAAGAACAGCUAAGGCCAGUCUGAAGAAAAUGCAUCACAGAGAGAGAGAGAAGAGCCUAGAGAAAGGGGACUGCUUCCAUUUUGUUGUCUACAUCCGUUCCUUGUUACUGACAUCUGUUUUCCAUCUACUUUUUGUUGCUACAGGCUGGGCUUGUACGUGAAGACACUCAGACUCUGCUACCCAGGCUGCUCUGUUGGCUGCUGCCUGGGAUCUUUCAGGAGUGAAAGAAAGCGAUGUGGUGUUGGACAGCAGCUUUUGUGCCACAGCUGAAGUGCUUCUGCUGAUACAGCAGAACUGUACGCAAUGCCUGAGCACGAUGUGAUGGCAGACUCAGACUGAUGGCAGCUUCAGCCCACCCCACAUAUGCGCCUUCCCCUGCUGCGGGAUGUUCAACAUGUGAAAACUUUUAGUGCAACCUGCACCACCUUGCCCAACUAGUCUCAAAACUAGGACACAGAAGUACGACAGCCUCACACAGAUGCUUUAUCUGCCUCUGACACCAGAUAGCAGCGUUGCAGGGUCUGAAGAAACACCAGCAAGUAGCAAGAACUGCCAGACAUGCCCCCGUGGGGAAGGAAAGAGGAAGAAAUCCCCCCCGAGGCUGCAGGGAGCCAGCAGGUGGCUGCAGAUGCCCACUCAGAAGUGGUCAGAAGUCUGUCUCCAGAUGCUUUCACAAACAGCUUUAUGGCACAUGAAGUUAUCCGUGGUUAUCCAUGCCCCACAGAGGCUCAGCCUGCGUAAAAGGAGGAGGAAUGAAACCUCCUGA
Molecule: long non-coding RNA, 809 nt
Filed under: Anas platyrhynchos platyrhynchos (common mallard)
Lineage: Eukaryota; Metazoa; Chordata; Aves; Anseriformes; Anatidae
Description: lncRNA (ENSAPLG00000016822.1)
Source: RNAcentral